AGUGCUCAUUAGGCCCAAGUGCUGGCACUCAGCUAAUGAGGCUCCAGGCAGCUUCUCACUGCUGAAAAGCCCAGGAGUGGGGGUAGUGCUGUUGUGGUGAGACUGGAGCUUGAGAUCUGUGUGAUGGAGGCACAGUAGACAGCAGAACUGGGGCUCCCAGGAAGAGGAUGCUGCCUAGUGCUGGGGUUCAUGUACAAGGAGAAGUACCGCAGGAUGACUGAAGUCCCAAGGAAAAAUCGGAGCCAACCCUCUUAUCCCAGGAGAAGCAACUUGAGGGUGCCACCAUCUUCUCAUUCUUCACCCAAGGAGGUUUGGACAGGAUGCAGGACCUUGGCAUCAGCUUGGAAUUGGGGCAUCCUGCUGUGUUUUGCUAAGAGCUCCCUGGAAAGUAACCCACUGGGAUCAACUGCAGCUGCUUUCCAAAGGAUACUGCAAGAUCCUGUGCAAGUUUUGCACUGCUGACUCUGCUGUCAUCACCAAUAAAGUGCUGUGUGCUCCAGGGCUUGGCAGCUCUGUGAUAGCAAAGCUUGCCUUACCCCAAGCCCUGUCACUCACGUCUGCCCACAAAAACACAGUCGCAAUUGAUUAGGGCAGGCAUCUUCCCAUAUGAGCCACAUUGGGCCUUUUGUUCUUCAUCUGACAGAGGCUCUUGAGACAGAAGAGGAGAGUAGAUGGAGCAGGCACUGGAGUGGUUGUUAGAGAUGCAGUGUGAUCAACAGAGCUCUCAUUGACACCUCUUCUGUGUCUGUUAGCUCAGCAGGGUGGGGAUGAAAGUUAAAUCCCAGGAAAAACAGCAAACACAUCACUGCUUUGUCUGUGUCAGAUGCAAGGGAUCUGUGUGCUCAGGUUUGGGUGGUGGGAAGCUUCUGCCUUUGGGUUCCUCUCUGCCCGUGGGGAGGCAGGCUGGGUUUUGUCCUUGCUGCUGAGAUGGUCUGCUGUGCUUGUAGUGCAGCUGAGCAGCUCCACUGGUUAUAAAGUUGGUACCAAGCUGGUGAGAUGAUACGACUGUAGAAGGGUUUGAGUUGGAAAGGGCCUCAAAGAUCACCUGGUUCCAGACCUGCUGCUGCAGGCAGGGCUGCCAGUCACUAAAUUGGGCACAAGAUCAGGUUGCCCAGAGUCUCAUCCAACACAGGCUGUGGUUCUAUGGUAACGGUGGUGGUGUAGCAGUUAAUGAUCUAAGGAUGU
Molecule: non-coding RNA, 1185 nt
Organism: Phasianus colchicus (ring-necked pheasant)
Lineage: Eukaryota; Metazoa; Chordata; Aves; Galliformes; Phasianidae
Source: RefSeq, a predicted model, not a curated record